GAGAGUAUAGCUCAGUGGUAGAGCGCGUGUUUAGGAGGCACAAGGUCCUGCAUUCAAUCCCCAGUACCUCCA
This 72-nucleotide transfer RNA is filed under the name Camelus bactrianus (Bactrian camel). It matches the Rfam family "tRNA". From Rfam's summary of the family: Transfer RNA (tRNA) molecules are approximately 80 nucleotides in length. Their secondary structure includes four short double-helical elements and three loops (D, anti-codon, and T loops). Further hydrogen bonds mediate the characteristic L-shaped molecular structure. tRNAs have two regions of fundamental functional importance: the anti-codon, which is responsible for specific mRNA codon recognition, and the 3' end, to which the tRNAs corresponding amino acid is attached (by aminoacyl-tRNA synthetases). tRNAs cope with the degeneracy of the genetic code in two manners: having more than one tRNA (with a specific anti-codon) for a particular amino acid; and 'wobble' base-pairing, i.e. permitting non-standard base-pairing at the 3rd anti-codon position. Lineage: Eukaryota; Metazoa; Chordata; Mammalia; Artiodactyla; Camelidae. The record is from Rfam by way of RNAcentral. RNAcentral also lists the same sequence under 2 other names.